GGAUUAGAUACCCUGGUAGUCCACGCCGUAAACGAUGGUCACUAGCUGUUUGGUUUUAGGACUGAGUGGCUAAGCGAAAGUGAUAAGUGACCCACCUGGGGAGUACGUUCGCAAGAAUGAAACUCAAAGGAAUUGACGGGGGCCCGCACAAGCGGUGGAGCAUGUGGUUUAAUUCGAUGAUACGCGAGGAACCUUACCAGGGCUUAAAUGUAGUCUGACAGGGCAAGAGAUUGCUUUUUCUUCGGACAGAUUACAAGGUGCUGCAUGGUUGUCGUCAGCUCGUGCCG
RNAcentral lists this ribosomal RNA (287 nucleotides) under uncultured bacterium. RNAcentral's name for it is "partial 16S ribosomal RNA". It matches the Rfam family "Bacterial small subunit ribosomal RNA", at positions 775 to 1067 of the family's 1533-position model. The record is from RNAcentral.